Molecule: unclassified non-coding RNA, 392 nt
Filed under: Brasilonema octagenarum RKST 322
Lineage: Bacteria; Bacillati; Cyanobacteriota; Cyanophyceae; Nostocales; Scytonemataceae
Description: Brasilonema sp. RKST-322 16S-23S ribosomal RNA intergenic spacer
Source: RNAcentral
UUUAGGGAGACCCACUUUUGAGAUAGUUAGAAACAGUUAGUUAAUAGCUAGUAACUCAAAAGCUAUCCCGAGGUCGUUCAUUAGUCAAUAGUGCAAGCUUUCAAACUAUUCUUGGUUCACCUAAGUUGUUUAACUGUAAACUUCUUAGAAAAACUAAAUUGUUAUUUCUGAAUGACAGAUUUAAUUUGGUUAGUUUUUUAGUUAAUAACUGUUGUAUUAGCUUAUUAAGAGUAUAUACAAUUGGAUAAGAUUCAGCAUCUUGUGAUAUAAGCAAGAAUGCUGGGGUAUUUCCAGCAAAAGAACCUUGAAAACUGCAUAGAAACGCGAAAAAUGUCAGGUAGUUAACUGUUUAUAACAGUUAAAACUCCAAGCAAAAAGCAAUGAUUGUUUGU